GCCGCCCCCUGUCACAAGUGUCAACGAGUGAAACAAACAGCCGUCUCGUAUUUAAGUGAACUAAAUGAACAUUAUUCGGUCGCUCUGUAACCGUUUGGACGGAUGCUCUUUAACAUAUCGACCACCGCGUUUAUAUUUGUCGCGAGUUGUGGCGAAGGCCCAGUGAGCGGUGAAUGCGUCCGGCGCCCGGCUGCAGGCUGCCCCCUCGAUGGUCUCUCCCACCAUGAAGGCGAUGGUGGACGCCGUGUGGGCGGUGUGGAGCAUCGGGGCCUCCGUCUAUGACUACAUCCACACCAGUGCCAUGGAGGAUCGGAUACACGCCCUGGAGAAGGUCACCACCGUCCACCAGUGUGCCAUCGGGCUGCUGUCGGCGGCCAUCUUGGUGCUCUUCACCUACGUCUUCCUCAAGAAGCUUUGAGAGUGAAGCAGACUGAGGGAUUCUAACAGAGUUGUAAGGUGAAAUAAUAUUAAUAAUCUCGUUUUUGGGAACAAACUGGCUGCAGGGUCCAUUGAACAUUUAUUGGAUGUAUGAUGUCACUCUGACAUCCUACUUUUAGUCAUUUUUAUUAUGGACACCUAACUUGCUAUUUAAAUUCAAUUAAAAUGAACCCUUAGGGCAGGGGUGUCAAACUGAUUUUUGUCAAAUCGUAAUCAAGACUUCCCUCGGCGGGCCGCUACGACUGAACCCAUAUAAAUGAAAGAUUACCACAUAUAUUCUAAUUACAUACAGUAUACACAACACAUUGAUGAAUAACCAGUUUUGAAAUCAGAAGCCUACAAAAACAUGUUUUUCAACUAUUACAUUUCUUUUCAACGUAGGAUUGGAAAAAAUGCUUGCAAAUAUCUCAGUGGUAUUACACCAGAACACAAUGAGCAAUUUUGAUUUGCUUUCGCGGGCCGCAUAAAAUGAUGUGAGGGGCCGGAUCUGGCUCCGGGGCCACCAGUUUGAUACCUGUACCUUGGGGGAUCUUAAGCAGUAAACAAAAUGUUCAGUGGUGCCUUGAGAUACAAGUGACUCGACCUUGGUGUUUUUCGAGAUACAAGCCAUCAUUUGAGUGUUUUUAUUUAUUUUUAUUUUUUUUUGCUUUGACUUGCAAGACUUGAUUUAUCAAAAAAGAAGCUUGAGUUGAGAGUUGAAGUUUACUGUCAAACUGAACAUAAAACAAAGAGAAUUACACCUUUGUUAAACAAUGCAAAAUUACAUUGACAUGCAUCGUCAGUUUUAGAAGCAAUGUGUAUUUGAACACAAACGCUACAGAUAAUAUAACAAUAUGCAGGCAUAUAUUUUUUAUCCUCUACAAAGAAUGACUACCAUUAGAGUAUCUGAUUGAGUAGCAGUUUUCUCCGUUUGUGUCUGCAUGACUGUAUUAUAAUGCCUGUCGGUGGCCAAGGCAGGCACCCCAAAAGAAGCAACACAGUGAACUGGAUUGCAGCAUUAAAUCAUGAUGCACAAACUGCUUCAUUCUUUACAUUCUAUUGAAUCAUGUUAGUACUCUCUUUAAAGUACUAUGUGCCAUUUCUCUUUAUUAAAAAGCAAACCAUUUUGGGGGAGGCGGGCCUGGAAUGGCCUACAGUGGACCCCCGUGGAUUCGCAGUUUGGCACCUGUGGAUUCACUUAGCCGCAGAUGUUUUUCUUUUUUUGGUUAACAUUUUUCUUUUUAGAGGUGGAACCAACUCCAGAAACACUGGUGGUUUAUCCCCAAUUAUUCAAGAACGUAUUCAGUAAAUAAAUUCCAUCCAUUUUCUGUACCGCUUAUUCUCACGAGGGUCGCGGGCGUGCUGGAGCCUAUCCCCAGCUAUCUUUGGGCGAGAGGCGGGGUACACCCUGAACUGGUCGCCAGCCAAUCACAGUGUAAAUAAAUACAUUAAUGAAUAAUUUAAUGCAAUUAUAACAGGUUUCAAUUAUCCGCCAAUUUUUGCUAUUCGCGUUCCGGCCCGGUCCCUAUCCGCCACAAAUAGCGGGGGUCCACUGUAAUGGCAUUUACAUUAAUUUCAAUUUGGGAAAGAUGAUUUUGAGUUGUGACAGUAUUGAGUAACAAGUGUGGUCGUGGGAAGAAUUAAACUCAUAUCUCAAGGCACCACUGUAUGAUUUCUGCAAAGAAAUAUCGCGUGAGUCGCAAAUAACAUGUACACACAGGCCACAACACUAGGUACACUUGCAAAACUUUACAAAGAUAAUGCUCAGUAAGGCUUGACACGGUCAGAGGGGUAUUUGUGUAUUAUGUUUCUUAUUGUAGUUUUACUUUGUGGUGGCGUACAACUGCACUUUCCAUUAUUCUCAUUGAGCGAAAUGAGACAGAAUGUACAUUUUUAGACACAAUAAACAUGUCAAAUGAAUACUGUACCUCUGACAAUGUCGAUUAAAAUGAACAUUCUGUUUUGUUAAGGAAAGCAUUUUAGCAAAUCCCGCUUAUUGUGCUGGAGUACCUAAUGUCAAGGUAAUUGCAUCAUUUUAAAAGGGAUCAUUAUUGAAAUACAUUGUUGCUAUUUUAUCUGCCUGAAGGAAUGUUACCUCUUAGCUUCUGAAGAUGACGUGUCGAUGACGGAAGUCAAGGUAUGGAAAUGUAUUUUUUAUCAGUCUACUGAUGGGGGAAGAAACCACUAUAUCACUAAAUUCAUCCUCCUUGUGUUCAAUUUAAUAAUUACAAUGUACCUAAAAUGCUUAGUUAACUUUAUACUCAAGAUGCUGUAUGAGGCAAUAAAGUGUCCUUAACACUG
Phycodurus eques (leafy seadragon) is the source of this 2718-nucleotide long non-coding RNA. RefSeq lists it as uncharacterized. The transcript has 2 exons. Lineage: Eukaryota; Metazoa; Chordata; Actinopteri; Syngnathiformes; Syngnathidae. The record is from RefSeq and is a predicted model, not a curated record.